AGUGAUUUUCAAAAAUAAGAAUGUAGAGUUCCUUAAUUUGUUUUCUCCAGUGGUAUCACUUUCUCAGUUCAUUACUGAGCCCUUCCUGAAUAGUGGCUUGGAACUAGAAUAAGGACUGCUGACUUUUCUCAGAGUAGGAGGGACUCAGGAAAUGCCCCUCAGGAGAAACUAAAUGGAAUUUUGGACACAAAUUAGAAAUUAAAUAAACUCAAUUAAAUUGAUUAGAUAUAAGUGAAUAUGAAUGUUGACUUUCAUUUUGUCAUGACAGUUGAAUUUAGUCACUGUGUUCAGGUUACUGUCUUGACCUGAAGAUUUCUUUGUAAAAUCUGAUGCAACAGUAGAGCACAAGAUAAUUCAGAGCUCCAGGAGCAUUCCCUUCCCCAUCAAGUGUUGGAAUUAUAAGAAAGUAUAAAGUUAUAUGACACAAGGAAGCAGACUGAAUUCAAAUUCAUCAGCAGGAUAUUUUCUCUGUUGUAAUGGCACGACUUAAUUUUUAUGAUGACAAAUUUCUGAAUGUUUAUUCCAGAAUGAUUUGAUAUAAUGACAGGACAUUAUUUUCUUGGGAAUUCAUGAUGACCUGAUAUAGAGAUGACCUUAGAGAAAUUAAAUUUAAAUAUGAUUUUUAUUAGAGCCAUAGCUGUUUACAGAAUUCAGCUGUAGGGCGGAGUUUUGGUAUACAUGAUGAGGAUAAAGCUGCAACCUUGAGUAGUUCUUUGAUUUUUCUCUUCUUGGAAAGAUUUUGAAAGGGGACACAGUUUUAAAGCAGUAUUAUAUAAAUCAUAUUCUGCUAAGAAACUCAUAAAGUAUGGGAUAAAACAAAUGUUUAAUAAAACCUUGUUUUGUGGGCUGGUGAGAUGGCUCAGUGGUCUAAAGCAC
Octodon degus (degu) is the source of this 876-nucleotide long non-coding RNA. RefSeq lists it as uncharacterized. The transcript is spliced from 3 exons. The record is from RefSeq and is a predicted model, not a curated record. NCBI's taxonomy places the organism in Eukaryota, Metazoa, Chordata, Mammalia, Rodentia, Octodontidae.